CCUACGGGGGGCAGCAGUGGGGAAUAUUGCACAAUGGGCGCAAGCCUGAUGCAGCCAUGCCGCGUGUAUGAAGAAGGCCUUCGGGUUGUAAAGUACUUUCAGUCGGGAGGAAGGUGGUGAGCUUAAUACGCUCAUCAAUUGACGUUACCGACAGAAGAAGCACCGGCUAACUCCGUGCCAGCAGCCGCGGUAAUACGGAGGGUGCAAGCGUUAAUAGGAAUUACUGGGCGUAAAGCGCACGCAGGCGGUUGAUUGAGUCAGAUGUGAAAUCCCCGGGCUUAACCCGGGAAUUGCAUCUGAUACUGGUCAGCUAGAGUCUUGUAGAGGGGGGUAGAAUUCCAUGUGUAGCGGUGAAAUGCGUAGAGAUCUGAAGGAAUACCAGUGGCGAAGGCGGCCCCCUGGACAAAGACUGACGCUCAGAUGCGAAAGCGUGGGGAGCAAACAGGAUUAGAUACCCGCGUAGUC
Molecule: ribosomal RNA, 465 nt
Filed under: uncultured bacterium
Lineage: Bacteria
Description: bacterial SSU rRNA
Rfam family: Bacterial small subunit ribosomal RNA
Source: RNAcentral